GAUGAACGCUGGCGGCGUGCCUAAUACAUGCAAGUCGAGCGAACAGACGAGGAGCUUGCUCCUUCGACGUUAGCGGCGGACGGGUGAGUAACACGUAGGUAACCUACCUAUAAGACUGGGAUAACUUCGGGAAACCGGAGCUAAUACCGGAUAAUAUUUCGAACCGCGUGGUUCGAUAGUGAAAGAUGGCUUUGCUAUCACUUAUAGAUGGACCUGCGCCGUAUUAGCUAGUUGGUAAGGUAACGGCUUACCAAGGCAACGAUACGUAGCCGACCUGAGAGGGUGAUCGGCCACACUGGAACUGAGACACGGUCCAGACUCCUACGGGAGGCAGCAGUAGGGAAUCUUCCGCAAAGGGCGAAAGCCUGACGGAGCAACGCCGCGUGAGUGAUGAAGGUCUUCGGAUCGUAAAACUCUGUUAUUAGGGAAGAACAAACGUGUAAGUAACUGUGCACGUCUUGACGGUACCUAAUCAGAAAGCCACGGCUAACUACGUG
RNAcentral lists this ribosomal RNA (497 nucleotides) under uncultured bacterium. RNAcentral's name for it is "partial 16S ribosomal RNA". It matches the Rfam family "Bacterial small subunit ribosomal RNA", at positions 28 to 507 of the family's 1533-position model. The record is from RNAcentral.